Molecule: ribosomal RNA, 578 nt
Filed under: Escherichia coli
Lineage: Bacteria; Pseudomonadati; Pseudomonadota; Gammaproteobacteria; Enterobacterales; Enterobacteriaceae
Description: bacterial SSU rRNA
Rfam family: Bacterial small subunit ribosomal RNA
Source: RNAcentral
GCCUGAUGGAGGGGGAUAACUACUGGAAACGGUAGCUAAUACCGCAUAACGUCGCAAGACCAAAGAGGGGGACCUUCGGGCCUCUUGCCAUCGGAUGUGCCCAGAUGGGAUUAGCUAGUAGGUGGGGUAACGGCUCACCUAGGCGACGAUCCCUAGCUGGUCUGAGAGGAUGACCAGCCACACUGGAACUGAGACACGGUCCAGACUCCUACGGGAGGCAGCAGUGGGGAAUAUUGCACAAUGGGCGCAAGCCUGAUGCAGCCAUGCCGCGUGUAUGAAGAAGGCCUUCGGGUUGUAAAGUACUUUCAGCGGGGAGGAAGGGAGUAAAGUUAAUACCUUUGCUCAUUGACGUUACCCGCAGAAGAAGCACCGGCUAACUCCGUGCCAGCAGCCGCGGUAAUACGGAGGGUGCAAGCGUUAAUCGGAAUUACUGGGCGUAAAGCGCACGCAGGCGGUUUGUUAAGUCAGAUGUGAAAUCCCCGGGCUCAACCUGGGAACUGCAUCUGAUACUGGCAAGCUUGAGUCUCGUAGAGGGGGGUAGAAUUCCAGGUGUAGCGGUGAAAUGCGUAGAGAUCUGG